GAUGAAGAACGUAGUGAAAUGCGAUAAGUAAUGUGAAUUGCAGAAUUCAGUGAAUCAUCGAAUCUUUGAACGCACAUUGCGCCCGCCAGUAUUCUGGCGGGCAUGCCUGUUCGAGCGUCAUUACAACCCUCAGGCCCCCGGGCCUGGCGUUGGGGAUCGGCGGAAGCCCCCUGCGGGCACAACGCCGUCCCCCAAAUACAGUGGCGGUCCCGCCGCAGCUUCCAUUGCGUAGUAGCUAACACCUCGCAACUGGAGAGCGGCGCGGCCACGCCGUAAAACACCCAACUUCUGAAUGUUGACCUCGAAUCAGGUAGGAAUACCCGCUGAACUUAAGCAUAUCAAUAAGCGGGA
This 351-nucleotide unclassified non-coding RNA is filed under the name soil metagenome. RNAcentral's name for it is "partial contains 5.8S ribosomal RNA, internal transcribed spacer 2, and large subunit ribosomal RNA". The stretch from base 1 to 120 matches the Rfam family "5.8S ribosomal RNA", at positions 35 to 154 of the family's 154-position model. The record is from RNAcentral.